Molecule: non-coding RNA, 73 nt
Organism: Protopterus annectens (West African lungfish)
Lineage: Eukaryota; Metazoa; Chordata; Ceratodontiformes; Protopteridae
Source: the annotation of a RefSeq genome assembly
GCCUUGUUAGUGCAGUUGGUAGCAUGUCAGUCUCAUAAUCUGAAAGUUGUGAGCUCAAUCCUCACACAGGGCA